RNAcentral lists this ribosomal RNA (447 nucleotides) under uncultured soil bacterium. RNAcentral's name for it is "bacterial SSU rRNA". It matches the Rfam family "Bacterial small subunit ribosomal RNA", at positions 26 to 459 of the family's 1533-position model. The record is from RNAcentral.
AGGACGAACGCUGGCGGCGUGCCUAACACAUGCAAGUCGCACGAGUCCACUCCUUCGGGAGUGAGGCGAGUGGCGGACGGGUGAGUAACACGUGAGCAAUCUGUCCCGCUGCGGGGGGAUAACCCGGGGAAACUCGGGCUAAUACCGCAUGGUCGGCUGAGAGGAUCUCUUAGCCGGGAAAGGUGGCCUCUUUACAAUGCUACCGUGACGGGAGGAGCUCGCGGGCUAUCAGCUAGUUGGUGCGGUCACGGCGCACCAAGGCAACGACGGCUAACGGGGUCUGAGAGGACGACCCCGCACAUUGGAACUGAGACACGGUCCAGACCUCCUACGGGAGGCAGCAGGUGGGAAUUUUGGGCAAGUGGCCGAAAGGCUGACCCGAGCGACGCCGCGUGCGGGAGGACGCCUCGGGUGUAACCGCGUGCGGGGCGGAACGGCAAGGAGGAA